UCUCGGAGUGCUUGAGAGGAGAGGAAAGGGAAAUAUAUAAAGUUCUCAUACCAGAGGACGAUGCGGAUUAUGAGUCACCGAGAGUGCACUCAAUGUCCAAGUGAUUCCUGAGAAAAUGAAGUUCUACUUUUAAUUUUUAAUUAAGAGCUACUGCCAGGAAUGAAGAAGAAACUCCUUAAAACACAAAAAAAUGGAUAUUGAUUUGGGGUACUUCUGGUCCACAAAUUGCCAAAUCAUAUGCAACGGGCUCGCACAAGAAAGCAAUAUUACAAGAAUCCUCUCCCAGUGCUCUGGCUUGGGUCAUUUUGCCGACUUUGCUGAACUGGUCAACCCAGAACAUAUUGCGGCCUGAAGUGGGCCGUUAGUAGUCGCCACUGAUAUUCCAAAAGAAGAGAAAGAGCUGAGCAAA
Fopius arisanus is the source of this 409-nucleotide long non-coding RNA. RefSeq lists it as uncharacterized. The record is from RefSeq and is a predicted model, not a curated record. The transcript has 3 exons. NCBI's taxonomy places the organism in Eukaryota, Metazoa, Arthropoda, Insecta, Hymenoptera, Braconidae.